RNAcentral lists this long non-coding RNA (526 nucleotides) under Elaeis guineensis (African oil palm). RNAcentral describes it as "long non-coding RNA (EGUI_LNC042060)". Lineage: Eukaryota; Viridiplantae; Streptophyta; Magnoliopsida; Arecales; Arecaceae. The record is from RNAcentral.
CCUCCCCGGCCCUUCAAGGCAUCGCCACUGCUAAGUGCGGCCAUCUCUCUCUUCUGCGUGCCACCAUCUCUGUUCUCGUCGAGUUCUGUCCAUAUGCCGGCCUCCUUGAUGCCUCACAAAAGCCGAGGAAUUGUGCCACAAUCUUCCCCAACCUCGCUCUUCAUCGAGCCACCAUCAUUGACCCGAAAUCCUCCUGGAAAUCACCGGAUUCCAGGCUAAACCCACCUCCCCUCUUUGCUGCCGUGUUUUUUGAUCCCUGUUAUUAGUUGUUUUCUAUUUUCUAGUUACUAUUAGAGACUUUGUAUUGUUGAUCUAUGGUGGAACCCCGAAGCUCAACCACCGGCGAGUGUGCGAACGCUCGAAUCAACCGAGAGCUUUGAUUCCUUAUUUCUACUUUUAGCACAACAACGGUUGUCUUCAUUUUUAUCUUUCUUCCCAUCUUCCAGUUACCGGCCAUCCAGUACUAUUGGGCUCUCGAUGUCGUCAUCAUCUCAGUCCACCGCCACCUCCAGCAACCCACUCCUCG